GACGAACGCUGGCGGCGUGCUUAACACAUGCAAGUCGAACGGAAAGGCCCUGCUUUUGUGGGGUGCUCGAGUGGCGAACGGGUGAGUAACACGUGAGUAACCUGCCCUUGACUUUGGGAUAACUUCAGGAAACUGGGGCUAAUACCGGAUAGGAGCUCCUGCUGCAUGGUGGGGGUUGGAAAGUUUCGGCGGUUGGGGAUGGACUCGCGGCUUAUCAGCUUGUUGGUGGGGUAGGUGCUUACCAAUGCUUUGACGGGUAGCCGGCCUGAGAGGGUGGCCGGCCACAAUGGGACUGGGAUAGGGCCCAGACUCCUACGGGAGGCAGCAGUGGGAAAUAUUACACAAUGGGCGGAAGCCUGAUGCAGCAACCCCGCGUGCGGGAUGACGGCCUUCGGGUUGUAAAACGCUUUCGCCUGUGACGAAGCGUGAGUGACGGUAAUGGAUAAAGAAGCACCGGCUAACUACGUG
This 468-nucleotide ribosomal RNA is filed under the name uncultured bacterium. RNAcentral describes it as "partial 16S ribosomal RNA". It matches the Rfam family "Bacterial small subunit ribosomal RNA", at positions 28 to 507 of the family's 1533-position model. The record is from RNAcentral.